This 240-nucleotide unclassified non-coding RNA is filed under the name soil metagenome. RNAcentral's name for it is "partial contains 5.8S ribosomal RNA, internal transcribed spacer 2, and large subunit ribosomal RNA". The record is from RNAcentral.
AACAUCGCGCACCUGCGGGAACCUGCGGAGGGAUCAUUACAGAGUUGCAAAACUCCCUAAACCAUUGUGAACGUUACCUAAACCGUUGCUUCGGCGGGCGGCCCGGGUCCUUCCUGGCGCCCAUCGGCCCUCGCGGGCGCCCGCCGGAGGUAAACCAAACUAUUGCAUUGUAUGGCCUCUCUGAGUCUUCUGUACUGAAUAAGUCAAAACUUUUAACAAUGGAUCUCAGAUCGGAAGAGC